RNAcentral lists this ribosomal RNA (495 nucleotides) under uncultured bacterium. RNAcentral describes it as "partial 16S ribosomal RNA". It matches the Rfam family "Bacterial small subunit ribosomal RNA", at positions 28 to 507 of the family's 1533-position model. The record is from RNAcentral.
GAUGAACGCUGGCGGCGUGCCUAAUACAUGCAAGUAGAACGCUGAAGGCGGACCUUGCUCUUCUGGAUGAGUUGCGAACGGGUGAGUAACACGUAGGUAACCUGCCUGGUACCGGGGGAUAACUUUUGGAAACGAUGGCUAAUACCGCAUGACAACAGCUGUUGCAUGAUAGCUGUUUAAAAGGGUCAACUGCUCCACAACCACUUGGACCUGCGUGGUAUUAGCUAGUUGUUGAGGUAACGGCUCACCAAGGCGACGAUGCAUAGCAGACCUGCGAGGGGGAGCAGCCAGACUGGGAGGGAGACAGGGCCCAGAGGCACACGGGAGGCAGCAGGAGGGAAACGGCGGGAAUGGGCGGAAGUCUGACCGAGCAGCGCGGAGUGAGUGAGGAAGGUUGUCGGGUCGGAAAGCACUGUUUUAAGAGAAGAAAGAGCGUGAGAGUGGAAAGUUCAGACUGUGACGGUAUUUUACCAGAAAGGGACGGCUAACUACGUG